GCGGGGCGGGAGAGGUCCAGGCACUGCAAAGGGGGAGGGGCAGCACUGCCACGGGCCUCCAGCAGAUUCUGGGGGGAAGCGCUCUGGGCAGAAGCACCUAGAGGCUCAGCGAGCCACAUGGGUGCGGGCCGGUUCUGCUCCUGAGAGUCUCUGGUCAGGGAGGAGGACAAGGGCUGGGCCGCGCCGGGACAGAGUGCCUUUCCUGCAGAGUGCUCCCUCCCGGAGCACCACUCUUUUCCACCUGCGGGGCCGGCCUCACAGUCUGCAUGGGGAGUCCUUCUGCAAGGGAGAGGUCGCCCAGUCUCAGCUGUGCCGCACCCCAUGCACAGGGCCCUGUCCUCUGCCGAGGUGACUGGGGGCAGGGUCUCAGCUCCACCCUGCAGCCCAUGCAGACUGGAAUCCCCUGUUCCCCUUCCCCACCCCGAGCCCUUCCCAAGAUUGCUUUCUUGGUCACGUCUUCCUCUGGCCCAUUAGAUCCUACCAGGAGGACUGUGCCUCAUGCUCACGUGAGAGUACGGGAAGCGGGCACACAAGGUCAUGUGUGUGACCCUGCUUCCUCUGUUUUCCUAAUUCUUACCCCACAUACCGUCGGGGGCUGGGUCCCCUUCCCUCUCCAUGCUUCAAACCACAGAUCGAGGGACUCGCCUUGACCUUGCACAGCACUUGUGCCAGUUAACCUUCAUCGUUGACCUGAUGGGUUCAGACACUCCUGGAGCGGCCCUCAGUCACGGCUGCUGUGCUCCUCGCUGGAUUGAUCCACGGCAGGUCAGGCUGAACGUGCUGUCAGGAGGCAGCUGGUUGGAGAAGGCAGGACGUUGGACAUGGGCCUCGGGAGGCGUGUCUCUGGCUGGCCCUCUGUCCCUGUGCCCUGCUCCGGCCACCAGGAACUGAACAUCUUUGAUCCACGAUGCUGUUCCCACCUUAGUCCACGGACUGAGACCUCUGACACUGAGAGCCAAAUUAAGCUUCUCCUUUUUAAGCUGCAGGUGCUGUGCAUUUUAUUCCAGCAAUGAAACGCUGACUGAUACAUGACCCCAUUGAAGCGAGGAUCAAAAGACAGAGUAUAGCUGGGAAAGGGGCUUGCUGUCUCCCAUCAGCCAGAACAGCAGGCCGGCAGGGUGGCUUUCUCUGGGGCAGCCCCACGUGAACGCAGAGCACAGUGAGCUGUGCGUGCUCGGGAGGGAGGCAGGCAGUUUCAAAGGCUGACAUAAGCGGUUCCGAAGCCACAGUCCUUGCUGCAGGAGUAAGAGCAAAGGUGCUCAAGGAUGAGCAGCAAGGGUGGCUCCUGUCCAAGGCUGGGCAGAGCUGGCGCAGGCUGACGUCUUUGCAGAAGUAUUUACUACACCAUCCCAUGGCCUGUGUGGAGGCUGUAGGCCUGGCAGGGUCUUCUGUGAUCGGUUCUGGCAUCAGGCACGAGCACAGGGCCCCUCCUUCCCGUCUGCCCAGUGUAUCUAUUUAUCACUUAUUUUCUGUUAGGGUUGGACACCACGACUCUAUCUGGACUCUAACGAUGUCCAAAAGCCUUCAGGAAGCUCCCAUGUAGAUUUCGUCUUUCUGUGAAUGAACACAGGGAUGAGGAUGGGGCAAAGGAGACACCGGAGACCCGCACAGCCUGCUGCUGAGCAGAGGGUACAGGGCUGCUCUUUUGACUUCUGGACCCCUAGGAGUCUGCACCACACAGAUCCCAGAGGUGUCAAUGACCUGAGCUCCCCUCGAGACAGGAAGGGCCUGUGUAGGAGGAAGAAGCUGCGGCACACGGGAGGAGGGUGCUGGUCAGAUGCCAGGUCCUGGGGCUGCCUUGUAGGGCCCUGAGCAGGUGGCACAUGGGUGCAGAAGGAAACUGAGGAAAAGGCCCAGCCAGGACCCAGCCAGGUGGCUUCUUGGUCUGGGUCAGGUGGGAGCAUCCAACUCGUUCCCUUGGCAACCAUGCUUUCUCCCUCCAUCUCUGCCUGCUGCGUGGUUUUCUCGUGCCUUGCCAGCUCCGAGGUCUGGGUGAGGGACAGGAUCUCCUUCUGGCUGUCCUUUGCUGUCCAGCCUGCCUGACCUGGGCCAUCUGAUCUUCCCUGCCCCUCCCUGCAGCUCGCAGACACACAGCUCAUGCUGCAGCCUCACCCCUCCUCCCCUGCACACUCUUCUGUGCAGUGACCCUGCCCACCCACAGGCAGGUGGGAGUGCCCUCGGCCCACCCACCCCUGCCAGCCUCACUACCAGCUGCACAGACCAGUGAGCUGUCACCAACGCUGGACCUGCCUUGUGGAGCCAGGCAACUCUAAAAUCACUCUGGAGCCCUGCGAUUUCCUCUUGAUAAGUGGGGUAACACAAGGACCGCAUGAGAUGUCCCUGAGGCAGUACCUGUCACAUUCGGACACAAGUGUACACACUUGGAUCUGCACAAGGAGACGAUGAGCACCAGAAAUGGCUAAUUGUACACUGAGGACAGCAGCCCCUCGGACGGUUCCCAGACGCAGCACCGCAGCCCAUGGUGCCAAGAAACGGCAGCAGCUGUCCCCACCGCACCAUGUGGGGCAUUCCUGUGACUGACACGAGAACUCAGCCCCGUGAGUAGUCCAGGGAGGCCACGCUCCUCUGCACCAGGAGUGUCACACGAGGACAAUCGAGGCUGUAGUGGCUGAGGUGGCCACCUCACAGCCUGGAGCUGGGCAAUCAAGACACCCCUCUCCCAGCAGGAGUUCUGACGUCAGCCACCCAGGAAAAAUAAAAUCUGCUUCCUUUUUCAUAAUGUUAUUCAGACACACAAGGCUUUGCGCCCUACAAACAGUUUUCUCGUUGCUCCGCAAUCUCCAGAAAUGGACGAGAGGCCAUGUAAUUCUCAGUGCGCUCGGCGGACCGUAAAUCACCUAGCAUUCCUCUCCGACAUGCAUCUAAGUUACUCGGUGAGUUGCACAAUGCUCUAGUAAACCUCCUCAUGCAUAGGCUUUUGUCCAUUUUUGGAAUUUUCUCUUAGAAUGAUUUCCCAGAAAUGUCACCAUGAGGUCAAAUGGAACAAACAAUUUCACGAACCCUGUUAUGUGCUGCCAAAUGCUUUUCCAGUAGUUUGUCUCCUUCUGCAGAGCCUGGGAACGUGGCAGCGGGCAGGUAGGAUGUGGCAGGGUAUUCAGAGCACAGGGCCACGUCGGAGGUCGCUCUGACCCAGAGCUCCAGACACGGGGGUAGGGUGUAUGUGGCAGGUGGGAGGGAGACAGCCUCGGCUGGCAGGGGCUGUCCCUGAGGUGGGCAGGCUCAGUGGAGGGACGGCGCUCUGCUGGAGACCACGUGCUGGGAUUUUAUAAAAACACUCACCGCUGCUGACAUUCAUGAGGUCCUAAGUGGGUGUCACUCAGAAGGUGUGUCCACAAAGGGUCCCCUGAUGGCUAACGUGGGCCAGUUAAGGAUCAGAAUUCAUCAUGGAAGCAACAGCUUGUAACCCACAAGACAAAGCAGGACCCCAGGGGCCACACUGGUGUGAGAACCAAGCCUGCACCUGGGGGCGAAGGGCUCCUCUCCGCAGUAGAGUGGGCACUGGUGAAUGAGAAGGUUGGAGGUCAGGAUCGAGGCUUUGCAACUUAGUAGUUACACGAGGUUCACACGCGGAACCUCAGCAGUCCCUGGAUGAGGGAAGAGGAUCUGGCUUUGUAAACACUGGCUCACCAGAAUGACGACGUCACUCACUCGUGGAAAAGACUGCUGGGGCACCACCCAAGGGCAGAGGGACCCGGCACCUUGCUGUGGGCCGUCCUGACCAGAAUGCAUCUCUACACCCUAAUCUGGGCCACCCUGCCAACGACCACCACGUCCUCACCACUGUCAAGUCCAGGGCGCAGGUGCCCAGCACCUGCUCCAGAGCAAAGAUGCUGAUGAGGCAGAUGUGGUCCCCUGCCCAGUGCCAGGCUGUGUAGGCAUAGCGGAAAGGGAAAUGUUGGAUAGCUGGUAGAACACGAAUAUGAACUCUGGAUUGCUAAGAGUGUUAGAUUAUUGUUUAGUUUCCUGCCAAGUCUCUGCUCUUAGGGCAGACGCGCAAUGAGGGGAAGCCGUGGUGUCCACCAUUUCUCUCAAUUUAGAGGACAGUAUAUGCACGGUGAGGCAUUUCAGUGUAUGUAUAUGUGCGCGCAUAACUUAGGUAUCUGUCUGCCUCUGUCCACCUGUCCGUUACUAACCUACCUGCACAGCACGAUGAGGCCCGUGAAGAAAGCACGCACAGCUGAUGGCUCUGGGUAAAGCCUAUAAUUCUCUGUGUUGCUCUUGCACCUUUUGAAAGAUUUCAAAACAGAAGGUCACAAACUAACAAGCUGAAUUUUGUUACCGUGCCGAGGCAUGGCUGGCACUCCACAUCCGGGGACAUCUUCAAGUCGCCCAGGACCUCCAGUUUGGCUGACACCGUGCCACCUCCUCAGGCUUCCACAAAGCAUGUGAGUUGUAGAAAUUCCACGUCCUGUUUCUCAGGACCUUUGAACACACUGCUCCAACCUCCCAGCCCCAUCUUCCUCCUCCCAGCACCAGCUGGGGGGCAUCUCCUUCAAGGGAUUUCUCCUUCUGUUCGGAGAGCGGGGUUUGUCCCUGCCUGCCCCCAGCCUGCCAGGGCGAACCCCACACUUCUGUGCACACUCUGUGACGCCAGCCUCCCUCUCCCCACCAGAUCACCCAGGCAGCCACAGACACAUCCCUGUUCCCAAGCCCGGAGUCCCGCGUGGUACUCGGAACAGACAGGCACGCAGUACACGUGCACGGAGAGGAGGGGCCCUUGGGCCAGCCGCUGUCGCCCACCUGCAGGUUUUCCUUGCACUAGAAAGAAACAGAGAAGGAAGUCUGUCUGCGUCCUUGGGACCGCACACAAGUGAAGAAGGGAGAGACUGUGAGGGUGGACAAGGUCCUAUGGCCCUGACUUCUCCUGGCGAGAGUGGGCUGCCCCAGGGAGGGCUUGUCCUGCCCUUCCCGGACCAGGCAGCUCUGGCCUCCCAGGGGUCAGGUGGAUGCACCCUCAGGGCUGUCCUGAAGGGCCGUCGGAAGGGGGAUUUCACCACAGGGAGGUUUCAAAGAGGGAAGAGCACCUGCGCUCUUUUCAGAUAUGCGCACGUUUGUUCGUUCGUCCACUCACUCAUCCAUAGUGUAGAAGCAAGCUGGGCAUAAGUGGUGUGCCCAUCCAUGACACAGAACUGUGGCUGACUUUCCUGCUUCAGAAAACUCAAGGGGAAGCCUUAGCAAACGUGGCAUCUCCUCAGCAGGUGGCCCCUCCUGCAGGCAGCUAUGUGUGUGGCUGUGCAUGACUGCGUGUGGCUGCGUGUG
Molecule: long non-coding RNA, 5280 nt
Organism: Chinchilla lanigera (long-tailed chinchilla)
Lineage: Eukaryota; Metazoa; Chordata; Mammalia; Rodentia; Chinchillidae
Exons: 3
Source: RefSeq, a predicted model, not a curated record